Molecule: transfer RNA, 73 nt
Organism: Basidiobolus meristosporus CBS 931.73
Lineage: Eukaryota; Fungi; Basidiobolomycota; Basidiobolomycetes; Basidiobolales; Basidiobolaceae
Rfam family: tRNA
About the family: Transfer RNA (tRNA) molecules are approximately 80 nucleotides in length. Their secondary structure includes four short double-helical elements and three loops (D, anti-codon, and T loops).
Source: Rfam
GCCUGGCUAGCUCAAUUGGUAGAGCAUGAGACUCUUAAUCUUAAGGUUGUGGGUUUGACCCCCACAUUGGGUG